AAGUAGCCUAGGUCAUUUAUUGAAGAAUAUCCUUAAGUCUAGUACCACUAAGAUACAACAUUUUGCAAAAAAGAAAACUCUAAUGUGGCAGUAACUAUUUCAUAUUGAUAUCAUGAUAAUACAACUAGUCAAAUUCAUAAAAAAAAUGAUUCGAAAACAAGCUGAAAUUAACAAGUACAAAGAAGAGUCUUGAUUACAAGUCUCAAAAUAAGUCUCGAAUGUUCAUGGCAUAACCUCACUUUUAAACAUGCUAAAAUAGAAGGCAUGGAUUAACAAGUCGAAUGAAAAAGAAAAACAGAGGAAAACAUCUAGCAAGUAUGGAGAUCUUCAUUUCUUCAAAACACAUGAACCCUUCUUACAUGUCUAGAAUCAAGAAUAUGUACCUGGAAGUUAAGAAGGAAACAAGGAGAAUAAGAAGUUAACAACAGCAGCAGUAGAGUCAGCCCAGAAUCAGCAAUGAAGAAGUACCAAACAACACCCGAACCAAUUUUUGAAACCCCAGACUCAAACCAUUUUCUACCCAAAUGCAAGACCUUGAAACUUUUCAGAAUUUCUAGCUAAGAAAAGAUCAGAAAACCAGAAAUAAGCAAAGUUCGAGCAGCUUUCACCAAAGAUAUGCUAGGAUUUCAAUGUUCUAUCAGAAUUUUUCUUCUAGACUCAGCCGUUUCAAUUUUUAGGAUUUUUUAGUCUCUUCAAUUCUCUUUCAUUCUGCCUUGAGCUUGAAGAAAAGGAUGCCUUUAUAGGCAAGGCACUAGGGAAGCCUAAAGAAAUCAGAUUUUCAUUUUGAUCCUUUUGGAAUUUUAGUUUUUGCUUAGAAAUCCUUAGGUUAAAAUUCAGAAAUUCAUUUAAGUCGCUUCCUAGAAGCUUCCUAAUUCAGUUAUUCAAAGAUUCCUUCAUCCUAAAUUCCUAAGCUACCCUCCAAUACCCCUGUUAUUACCCCUGAAACUCAGGGGCCAAGUUGACCUAAUGACUUAAUUGAAAGAAACGGGCUGCCUUUCUUUUGCGAAUGGGUCUGAAACCCAAAGCCCAAACGAAUUAAUUCAAAGCACUCUGUAAUCAAUAGAAGAACACAAACAUUUGUUCCGAAAGUUAAAAAAAAUUGAACUAGGGCAAUUGGUUAAUUAAUACAAAUAAGCAAGGAAGUUAGCUAAAUUAUUAAAACUAAUUAACAAACUAAAGCAAUUUCAGACAAACAAAUAAAAAUGACUUUGAGAACAAAUCGAUUUUUAAAGGCACUUAAAAACUAAUUUUAAAACAGAAUUUUAACAAUCAAUUUUUUUCUAUUUUAACAAAAUUCAGAGAUCAAACCAUGAAACAGAAGGGGCUCGUGCUUUGAAGAAGAAAAGAAAAAGAAGAAGGAAGGGACAGAAAGAAAAAGAAGAAAAAAGAAAAAUCAUUGAUAGAAACUUACUGAAAAGGAAGAAACGGACAUCAAUACCUUUAAACUUCGCCUUUGCUUCGACCAACAGAAGUCGUUUCUUCCGAUAGACCCAGCCUCGCAUGGCUUUGGCUGAGUCUUCGUGAGAGAAAGGACUCUUGGAAGUCUCAACCUUGAAGGAGAGAAUGAAACGGAGGGACUUUUAGUGACCACGUUGGGGAAAACAGGUCUUUCAAGUUUUGGAUCUGAAAUUCCGACCAGUAAACGAAAGUUCUUGGAAAACCGGUUGGGAAUCUGUUAUGAGGAGGGAACAGAGAGUAUGGGGUGAUAAAAUGAUGUGGUUUAGAAGAGUUAGGGUUUUUUAGUCAGAUCUUCAUUUGAAGAUUCGAACAGUUCGGGCAUGAUUCGAGGGAAAAGAAGUGAAGAUUUGGAAUGGGGGGGAUGAAGGGGAGUUUGGGGUAAUGGUUUGGGGUCAUUUGGGAUCGGCGCCGCCAGCUGAGGCAGUGGGGAAUGGAGGCGCCGUCUCUAGGGUUCUGUUCAAUUCUCUAAAAAGGGAGAUGAUAGAGACGAG
This 1949-nucleotide long non-coding RNA is filed under the name Nicotiana tabacum (common tobacco). RNAcentral's name for it is "long non-coding RNA (NTAB_LNC002738)". Lineage: Eukaryota; Viridiplantae; Streptophyta; Magnoliopsida; Solanales; Solanaceae. The record is from RNAcentral.